This is a long non-coding RNA of Dermochelys coriacea (leatherback sea turtle), 4533 nucleotides long. RefSeq lists it as uncharacterized. The transcript is spliced from 2 exons. Lineage: Eukaryota; Metazoa; Chordata; Testudines; Dermochelyidae. The record is from RefSeq and is a predicted model, not a curated record.
UCUUUUGAAAUUACUGGAGAUAAACUAUUUUUAAACCAGUUUAAGUGAGAGGAGAAUCGGGGCCCCAGGAAGACACUGGAAGUUCAUGUUUCUGUGAACUGAUCUUUCAUAAAUUAACUUUGUACCUGCUUGAUCUAGUCUUUCCAAAUUCAGAUGGCAAAAGUUAUAUCACAACACUUCCCUUUUUAGCUGUUUCAUCUGUUUUAAAAUACAAUACAGUAAUAUGUAGUGAAUUAUUGUCAAGCAAAUUCCAUAAAGGCAGCAUUGUAUCAAAAAAAGCUGCCUAGAAGUCUAACUUUUUCACAGUUACUGGUGAGCUGCCAUCUUAAUGGAAGAAAAACUUAACUCCCUAUGAUUUAUUGGAUUUAGUCAGAUGACCAGUAACUAGUCAAUUUUUAGUUGGGUUUCACUUUUCAGAUUGGACUUCCAGUGUCAUAAAAGCAAGAAAUUCUGUUGAACCCUAUAGUCUGUUAAGCAGAUCCUAAUUUCAGCUACAUCAGUGGAAAAUUGGAAUGAUUCCAGUUAACUAGAGUUACAUAGCUCUCUGACAGAAUUUGAUUCUCAGUAACUGACAUUCUACUUCCUACCAUAGCUUCAGUUUAAAAUAAUAAUUUGGAUGGGUGAAGUGGAAGCUGAAUGCAUUUACAUUUAUAUAGGUCUUUAGACUGCAUAAACAUAGAUUCAUGAAAACUUGUUUAAAAAAUAUAAAUAGUGCAUAUUAUUUUUGCAUGGAAAAUAAACUGUUCUUUAUUUCAGAUUAGCCAUAGUUACUUUGUAAAGUCCAAAUGCAUGUCACCUUUGUAAAGUCCAGUCAUGUCAUCGAGCAGACCAAGGCAAUUUCUUGGAAUAAAAGGAAUUCUACAAUUGAAGUAGAAGUAAUAUCAUUACAAUCAUGAUCCUAUGUAUAGAAUAACAGUUUGGAGGUCUGUAAAAUGUGCUAGUGAGAUCCAAAGCAUGACUAAAGUUGGGGAAAAGCCUUGCUUCAAUGUAUUAACUGAUUAGUUUUUUUAUAAACUAUAGUUCUGUGCUAUGUGAAACAUAGGGUCAUUUAUUUGUUGAAUAAAUUAUAUUCUAAAUAAUGAUCAUGGUACUGAUAGAAUGCUGGAGAGCAGUAGAGAAAAAAACUGAAGGUUUAGCCUUACUGAGUGAUAUUAAUUUUCCUUAAUUUUCUACUUGUUGAAUCAUCAUGGCUAUUGCUAAACAUUGGUAGGACAAGCAGAUUUGAUCAUCUUAUUUUACUUUCUCUUCUCUGCUUCUCUGUUACUAUUGCUACAUCAUCUUCACUUAACUCCACAAAAAUAUGUCUGGAUCAGUAGAUUCUUUCCGAUAUGAAUCAUACAUUCCCAUAGUGCUGAUUUAUAUUCUAAAGUAGUUGAAUGGGUUAUACAGUUUAUUUACCUAAAAAAAAAAAUUCUGUCCAUUCUGUGACUGUAGACAACAAAUGGGAUAUUACAAGCUUUUUAGAAAAAUUUAGAUUGCUUUAUAACUCUGCCUCUCUUUCUCCCAUAGUUCAAAUCCUUCCUCCUCCUGCAAAAGAAACAUUUUAUUCUAUGUCCAUUGAGGGUGAAAUUCACCUGUCAUGUGGUGUGUUUUGCACUAACCAACCAUGCCACUUAAACCCUGCAUUAGAGCUGUGCAAGGGGAGUCUUGGCAGAAAGGCCUGACAGGGUUGCAUUUACAUCUCUGAUGUGGUUGGGAAAGGUCUCUGGAUAGAUUGACAUGGAAAGUUGGAGAGGGCCAAUAGCUCCAACAUCUCAUUCAGUUUCUGCACAGGGGCAGUUGCUACAGUUACAUGCUCUGGAUUGGAUCUAAUAGAGUUCAUCUUGCCAGCCUCUCCAUAGUCCACCCACAGAAAACCCAAAUACUUGCAGUGUAUGUGGCUGGAGAAUCAGGGUUCCCUUUGCUUUCUUGUUAUGUGGUCUACUCUGCAGGUUUAGAGCAAACAAGUGGGAAUGCUGGAAACCUGCAAAGUUCUCUGAAGCCAUGUGAAGGAGGAUGUAGAGCCAAAGCCUCCAUCCUACUUUCUCAAAACUUACAGAAUUUCCUCUGUAUGCUAUCCAGACGCGAUAGAUUUUUUUUUCCAGAGCUGGGAUGGAACAGGAAAGUAGUUGCACUUUGGAGCAGUAGCACUCUGUGGAUUUCUGAGUGGGAAUCUCUAAGUAGCAGCAUUAGCUCUCACAAAGGUAUGACUACACUUGCCACUUAAAGCGCAAAAAGUCCCUUUUUUGCACUAAAACCAUGGGAGCAUCUACACUUGUUAAUGACUUUUGCUGUGAAACUCAAAAGUUUCACUGCAAAAAGAAAACCACCUUCACAAGAGGUAUACAGCUCUUACGCUGUUCUUUUUGCGCUGCUGUGAAAGUGAAGACAUGUUCUAGUAGUGUAAACACCUUUUGGCCUCCGGAGGAUAUCAUACAGUUCCAAAAGCGACCACUCUGGCCAGCAUCUCCUCUGCUCUGACACACGGAUGUCCGCCCCUCCCCCUGUAAGCCCCGGGAAGUUUAAAGCUGCCUUUCCCUUUGUUUGUAGAUGUGGUGGGGAAAGCAGCCAGACAGCAGGAGGUUUUAAAAAAAAAUGCCACCGAAGAAACCAGGAAGCAAUGGGGCUCCUGAGACAUGAAGCAGGGCAGCACGGGGCACUGAGCAGGGACCCAGAAUGCCUUCCGCUCACCCUCCCCCUUCCCACAAGACCUAUCGGAGAGCUGCACUGUGGGAUAGCUGGCCUAUAGCGCUGCUCUCAUCGGUGAUGGAAGUGCUGGUAAUGUAAACACUCUCUGAUGCCUGAGGAAUUGAGUGAGUCCAGAAACCAGCGCUUUACUUUUACCGGUUCCCUAUCACCGGUGAAACUUGCAGUGCAAAAACUCUGUAGACAUAUUCUUACUCCCUUUCUGUGGUAUCUAUUGCACACCUCUUUUGGGAACUGGGGCGGAGUACAUGCAUCCUAUGGCUGUACAACUCCUGCAGGAGCCAGACUAGGGGGAAAGAGAAAAGCAUUCGGUGCUGAGGCAAAGAAGUUAAAAGUAAUUACAUGAAUGUUAAUGUCUGAAGCAGUUACUUAAUCAGAGGAAAAAAACUUCCAUAAAUAAUCGACAUUUUUUAUUUUACCAGACACUUGUCUUCAAAUAGAAUAUGUAAUAGGAAUUUUGACUUGUGGUUGGAUAGACCAGGCACUUGUACUAUCCUAUUUUUCAAAUGCUUGAUAGCCCAUUUAAACAUAUAGCAGAGGGAGAAAGCUGUAUCCAGGCUCAAAUGAAUUUGACCCUUUAGGUGAGUCAUGAUUUGUCUUAACACUGAACUUCAGCCUGAAGUUAGAGCCUGCUGUAAGGUGAAAUGUUGUGUUAAUGUGUAUUGUUUGUUUCCCAUUUACACUUAUGUAGGAAUCUGGCCCACCUCUAGGAGCAAACCAGAUCUACCCAAACCCUAACCUAAACACAUAUGGAGAUCGUAUAAAUCAGGGAAGGAGCUUUAUUUUUUACUUCACAUCCCAUAACAUACACUCCUGGCUACGUUUCAGUUAAAGGAUGGUGCAUCUGGAUGCAACUAUGUAUAUAUUAUUGGGUUUUCAUAUUGAGGUCAAAGUUAUAUAACGCUUAUGCUGCUAUAGAAUUGUUAAUAUAUGUAAACAUAAAUCAAAUAAAACUUCUUUGACAAACGAUUGAUUGGCAACCAUUGAUCCAAACUGGAUCAUGGUAUAUCAUAAGAGGUCUAAUCUGGUACCUAAUGACUCCGUGUAUGGCUGACAAGCCCAAUUCAAGAGCGACACAGGUUUUACAAAUUUAGUAGAUCCAUGUGGUCAAGACCUUUGAUGCAUAUGUCUAGGCAAGAGUAUGGAGGAGUGGAGGCUGCCCUAGACCUACCAUCCUCCCUUUAGAUCAUUGAAACAGUGUCUGAAGGCCAGAUGUUCAGUGCCUCAAGGGUUGUAGCUUCUGCCAGAGAGCAACAGAUUGGAGCUGCUGCUCACUGCUUAAUACGAGGACACCUUUCUGUCAGGGUGAUGUCCCUUAGCCUUACUCCAGCCAAGGAAUACUUACAAGGCAGUGGGGGCUAGGGUUUUGAGGCACCCUAUAUUCACCUUACGCUGAAGGUUACAACAUUGUGGCAUUUUACAAGAGCUACCCUGCCACAAGUAGCCCCGCCACAUUGGCACCAGGGCCUCCAGUUGAAUGCAGUUUGCGGUCAUACCUAGGACCCAAUAACAAAUGAACACUUGUUAGUUUGUAUAGGAUGCAUCACUUUUAUUUAGUUAAUAUUUGUUCAGCAUUUGAAUAUAUAGAGCACUAGAUACAUGUGCUAUGUACUAUUAAUAUGAUACAUCUGUACUUGGAGACUAGAUGUUAAUCCAAAUCCUGGAACAAACACUGACAACCUACUUGGAGAUUAAACAAGUGACUAUUUAACACUCACAGGAUUAUGGGAAGUAAGGAAGUACCUUCCUGCUGACUUAUGUUCACCCCAAUAUUAUUUGUUCAGGUCUUUGCAAUGCACAUUCCAACAAUCUAUGUCAUGUGAAUAUAAAAAGCUAUAACAUAUGGAG